UUUGAUGUACGUAAUUGUGCCCCUACAAUGACGUGCGGCAGACAAAGGCGGACCGGCGGUCGGCGUCAGCCGGCAAGAUGUGGUGGACAACAUUGCCCCCCUCAGCUCCGUCUUCACCGACGUCCACAAGCUGCACUGCGUUCCCUUUUCGAGGAGGAGAAGACAAACACCUUUUUGCACACAAUGCUGUGUUGAUGACGCAACGAGAAAGAGACGGUGCCAAAAAUAUCAAUUUCCGGCCACCGACCUCUGCCGACG
This 258-nucleotide long non-coding RNA is filed under the name Musa acuminata (dwarf banana). Its description in RNAcentral is "long non-coding RNA (MACU_LNC007362)". Lineage: Eukaryota; Viridiplantae; Streptophyta; Magnoliopsida; Zingiberales; Musaceae. The record is from RNAcentral.